GAAUGCUGACAUAAGUAACGAUAAAGCGGGUGAAAAGCCCGCUCGCCGGAAGACCAAGGGUUCCUGUCCAACGUUAAUCGGGGCAGGGUGAGUCGACCCCUAAGGCGAGGCCGAAAGGCGUAGUCGAUGGGAAACGGGUUAAUAUUCCCGUACUUGGUGUUACUGCGAAGGGGGGACGGAGAAGGCUAUGUUGGCCGGGCGACGGUUGUCCCGGUUUAAGCGUGUAGGUGUGUGUUCCAGGUAAAUCCGGUUCACUUUAACACUGAGGCGUGAUGACGAGGCACUACGGUGCUGAAGCAACAAAUGCCCUGCUUCCAGGAAAAGCCUCUAAGCAUCAGGUAACAUCAAAUCGUACCCCAAACCGACACAGGUGGUCAGGUAGAGAAUACCAAGGCGCUUGAGAGAACUCGGGUGAAGGAACUAGGCAAAAUGGUGCCGUAACUUCGGGAGAAGGCACGCUGACACGUAGGUGAAGUGAUUUACUCAUGGAGCUGAAGUCAGUCGAAGAUACCAGCUGGCUGCAACUGUUUAUUAAAAACACAGCACUGUGCAAACACGAAAGUGGACGUAUACGGUGUGACGCCUGCCCGGUGCCGGAAGGUUAAUUGAUGGGGUCAGCGCAAGCGAAGCUCCUGAUCGAAGCCCCGGUAAACGGCGGCCGUAACUAUAACGGUCCUAAGGUAGCGAAAUUCCUUGUCGGGUAAGUUCCGACCUGCACGAAUGGCGUAAUGAUGGCCAGGCUGUCUCCACCCGAGACUCAGUGAAAUUGAACUCGCUGUGAAGAUGCAGUGUACCCGCGGCAAGACGGAAAGACCCCGUGAACCUUUACUAUAGCUUGACACUGAACAUUGAGCCUUGAUGUGUAGGAUAGGUGGGAGGCUUUGAAGUGUGGACGCCAGUCUGCAUGGAGCCGACCUUGAAAUACCACCCUUUAAUGUUUGAUGUUCUAACGUGGACCCGUGAUCCGGGUUGCGGACAGUGUCUGGUGGGUAGUUUGACUGGGGCGGUCUCCUCCUAAAGAGUAACGGAGGAGCACGAAGGUUGGCUAAUCCUGGUCGGACAUCAGGAGGUUAGUGCAAUGGCAUAAGCCAGCUUGACUGCGAGCGUGACGGCGCGAGCAGGUGCGAAAGCAGGUCAUAGUGAUCCGGUGGUUCUGAAUGGAAGGGCCAUCGCUCAACGGAUAAAAGGUACUCCGGGGAUAACAGGCUGAUACCGCCCAAGAGUUCAUAUCGACGGCGGUGUUUGGCACCUCGAUGUCGGCUCAUCACAUCCUGGGGCUGAAGUAGGUCCCAAGGGUAUGGCUGUUCGCCAUUUAAAGUGGUACGCGAGCUGGGUUUAGAACGUCGUGAGACAGUUCGGUCCCUAUCUGCCGUGGGCGCUGGAGAACUGAGGGGGGCUGCUCCUAGUACGAGAGGACCGGAGUGGACGCAUCACUGGUGUUCGGGUUGUCAUGCCAAUGGCACUGCCCGGUAGCUAAAUGCGGAAGAGAUAAGUGCUGAAAGCAUCUAAGCACGAAACUUGCCCCGAGAUGAGUUCUCCCUGAGACUUUAGGUCUCCUGAAGGAACGUUGAAGACGACGACGUUGAUAGGCCGGGUGUGUAAGCGCAGCGAUGCGUUGAGCUAACCGGUACUAAUGAACCGUGAGGCUUAACCUUACAACGCCGAAG
Molecule: ribosomal RNA, 1667 nt
Filed under: Salmonella enterica subsp. enterica serovar Chester
Lineage: Bacteria; Pseudomonadati; Pseudomonadota; Gammaproteobacteria; Enterobacterales; Enterobacteriaceae
Description: partial 23S ribosomal RNA
Rfam family: Bacterial large subunit ribosomal RNA
Source: RNAcentral